ACAAUCUCCGCGUCGCUUAGCAACCGCGAUGUUUACCGCUCAGGAUAUAGGCGCGCGAGCGCGGGAGAAUAGAGUCUAAUGGUUAUUAUAGGCUGCGCGGUAAUAACCCGCAGACAGGAUCCAGAUUACGGGUCUUUAUUGCGGCCAAUUUCAAAAGGCGCAUCAGAAAAGAGGAAAAUGUGCGGGAAAUGUUGGCGCGUUGGUUGUUGGUCCAACACAGAUCUGUGGAUUGAUUAUUGAUCAGCUGUUUGCUCUCAGAUUCCCGCGGAUAAGCCGCCUUUGUGAUGCUGACAAACCUCACCUGUGUGACUCACGCGGAGAGGCGCGCGCGCGCCAAAGGUUGACAAAAAAACAACAAGCGGCUUUCAGCAUCUUCAGCAGAAAAUUCCUCUUCCAGCAUCACACAAACAUUAUCACAGAAUCAAACAGCUCCGAUGUUUCCCACAAUGCAUUGCUGUUUGGAAGAUGCCGCAGCAGCUGAACCCUUAAAGUCACUUUGGAUUCGGAGAUUUCUUGGAAAAACUUCUGAAUAAUGUGAAUAAACAAACUCCCCCUGUGAAACCUUCCGGCCGGGCCCACCAGCCGACCCGACACAAGCCCGUCCCCCCAGACAAUUCCUCUGACCAUCUUCAAAAUCCAAUGGCAACCUCCAAAUCGUCUUUGUGGCCCCGAGAGGCUCUGAACCCCUUUGUGCCGCUAAAGCUCAUAAAUUUGUCGCUGGGGCUGAUUAAACAUGGCCGAAGUGAAACACUAAA
RNA transcript from Oryzias melastigma (Indian medaka), 755 nucleotides. RefSeq lists it as uncharacterized. The record is from RefSeq and is a predicted model, not a curated record. The transcript is spliced from 3 exons. NCBI's taxonomy places the organism in Eukaryota, Metazoa, Chordata, Actinopteri, Beloniformes, Adrianichthyidae.